GUGAGGAAUUUUCCGCAAUGGGCGAAAGCCUGACGGAGCAAUGCCGCGUGAAGGAUGAAGGCCUAUGGGUUGUAAACUUCUUUUCUCAGAAAAGAAUUAUGACGGUAUCUGAGGAAUAAGCAUCGGCUAACUCUGUGUUAGCAGCCGCGGUAAGACAGAGGAUGCAAGCGUUAUCCGGAAUGAUUGGGCGUAAAGCGUCUGUAGGUUGUUUAAAAAGUAUUCUGUCAAAGAUUAGGGCUUAACCCUAGAUAGGCAGAAUAAACUUUUAAGCUAGAGUUUGGUAGAGGCAGAGGGAAUUCCCGGUGGAGCGGUGAAAUGCGUAGAUAUCGGGAGGAACACCAAAGGCGAAGGCACUCUGCUGGGCCAAUACUAACACUGAGAGACGAAAGCGAGGGGAGCAAAUGGGAUUAGAAACCCGUGUAGUCC
RNAcentral lists this ribosomal RNA (426 nucleotides) under uncultured bacterium. RNAcentral describes it as "partial 16S ribosomal RNA". It matches the Rfam family "Bacterial small subunit ribosomal RNA", at positions 354 to 796 of the family's 1533-position model. The record is from RNAcentral.